Long non-coding RNA from Oxyura jamaicensis (ruddy duck), 643 nucleotides. RefSeq lists it as uncharacterized. The record is from RefSeq and is a predicted model, not a curated record. Lineage: Eukaryota; Metazoa; Chordata; Aves; Anseriformes; Anatidae. The transcript is spliced from 2 exons.
CACGCACCGCGCCUGCUGCCAGGGGGCUGCCGCCCGCCCCGCCGAGGCACCGCUGCGCCCCCAGAACUCCUGCGUGGGACCCAGGCCCUGCAGGUGCUCCCCUGGGUCUGCUGCUGCUCCCCCCGGAAUGUGCAGGGAGUCGCAAUACCGUUGUGCAGGGAAGAAAAAAAAAGGAAAAAAUAAAAAUAAAAAUCAGGCAAAAGACAAGAAUUGUUCAGUUCCUACCAGUCCACAAAGCCUGCUCUGCUGUGCCGCUCCCAGGCUGCUGCCUGCUUCCAGCUGCUCCUGACACCUCCACAUUCGCCUUCCCGAGGUUUGGCUCUGUGUGCUGCUCCCAGAUCAUUGUUUCCUCUCUGCUCCUGUUGACACGUUCCCGUUCGAUUUGCCAUUCUGGAUCCCUGAUCCCGUUCCGGCAGCACUCUGAGCAGGGGAUUGCGGCACCGCGGGCGCUGCGCUGGGAGGGCUCGGGAAGCCUUCCCGGGAGUUCGCUUUGAGGUGCUUCAGGAGUGCUGUUUUCAUGAGAGGCAGCCAGCACUGUCAUCGUUCACAGCCCUCCUCCCCGGCUGAAAGCGUCGGGGCAUCCUUUUUGUCUCCGAGUUUUCCAGAGGAAUGAAAAUUGAAUAAAAGAUCAAAGUUCAGUGAA